This is a long non-coding RNA of Brassica napus (rape), 927 nucleotides long. RefSeq lists it as uncharacterized. The record is from RefSeq and is a predicted model, not a curated record. Lineage: Eukaryota; Viridiplantae; Streptophyta; Magnoliopsida; Brassicales; Brassicaceae. The transcript has 3 exons.
ACAAUUUCAAGCUUUGGCCUCAUCAUACAUUGCCUUCUCUCAUGGAGUUUAGAAGUCGUCGGCUUCUUUUGUUGUGUGGCGGAUUUAACCGCUGUUGCUUCUGGUACUGCUGCUGCAGCAUUGUUCUCUGAUGGACCUGUCAAGCGCUGCACGAUUUCUCUGAAAGUGUUGGUGUCUGUGUGGACGAAUGUUGUGACGGGCUUGCAUGUUGCAACGUUUUGACUUCCUUGGUUAUUCAUAUAUGAUUAGAAAUAUUCGAACGUGUAAGGUGAAUUUGAAGAAACUGGACCUAUCUAGAGAACCAAUGAAUUUCAAAUAUAUGCGAGUGAUUUCAGGAAUGAGGAUGAUGUAAGGAAUCACAAUGAUGAAAAAUAGAAGAAGACCAAAGACAUACCUGAAGAGCAAGCCGAGGCAGCUAGUGAAGGCGAAUGCUGGUUUCAGAACCCAAAAGAAGAUAAAAAGAAAAGACAACAAGAGAUAGAGAGAGAAGUCAAAGAAGGUUAAAAGACUGUUGUUGGUCUAAUGCUGGUCACAGCUCAGAACUUUGUUCAUAUACCAGAAAAAAAGGAGGAAAAAACAAGAAGAAUGUGGAGGAAAAAGACUAUUUUAUCCUUUUAUUUUUAACCGUUUUUGGGUUUGGUCAAACAUCAGAAUGCCAGAUUGUGAUGAGUUAUUUCAUGCUGUCGUGAAGGAAUGGAGAAAGCAAGUUCAACAAGGAAGAAAAGUGCAUGCCGUUUCGGUUAAGGAGUGUAGGGAGAGAGAUAGAGAGACGUCAUAGCAAACCUCUCCACCCAAUUUAUAAAACCAAACAACGGUUUCUAUUUUUUUGUUAUAUUGUUUUUUUUUAAUGGGCUGUCUCUGUUGAAUGUGCUGAGAUGUUUAACUGGACUCAUAACAGUUUCCUAACUGACACUGUUCUUUGGUUGA